UUGGCGGCAGUGUGACACCUUACAUUACCUGACACGACCGAACUAAUUGGGAUCUGGGAUUAGUGAUUAAUCUUUGGCUUUUCUGACAAGGAUUUGGUGUCUGACGUAGCAUUUGGGGCCUCUGCCUAGUAUUUGGAGUUUCUACCUGGCAUUUGGAGCACCUGCCUACACUUUGGAGCAUCUACCCAGCUUUUGGAGCCUCUACCUAGCAUUUGGAUCAUCUACCUACCAUUUGGAGCCUCUACCUAGCAUUUGGAGCCUCUACCUAGCAUUUGGAUCAUCUACUUACCAUUUGGAGCCUCUACCUAGCAUUUGGAGCCUCUACCCUAGCAUUUGGAGCCUCUACCUAGCAUUUGGAACCUCUACCUAGCAUUUAGAGCCUCUACCCUGGGCUCUGGCGAAUCUACCCUAGCAUUUGGAACCUUUGGGCACACCCUACCUCCAGUAAUCAUUGAUUUAAGAUGCUCAAGGGCCUUUCAACUCAGGUGUAUGUUGACGACAGAACGACAGUUAAUGAGGGUCACCUGUCGCAACCUGUGGCCAAGCGACAACAACAACAGGAAUCGUAUCACUGCUAUCUGCAACAUCGUCAACAACAACAACAGCUGUAUCACCCACAACAACAACAGCUGUAUCACCCACAACAACAACAACAGCUG
Molecule: long non-coding RNA, 659 nt
Organism: Homarus americanus (American lobster)
Lineage: Eukaryota; Metazoa; Arthropoda; Malacostraca; Decapoda; Nephropidae
Exons: 3
Source: RefSeq, a predicted model, not a curated record